Molecule: non-coding RNA, 444 nt
Filed under: Pongo abelii (Sumatran orangutan)
Lineage: Eukaryota; Metazoa; Chordata; Mammalia; Primates; Hominidae
Source: RNAcentral
GCCCCUUUGUGUGACUAAAUUUGGCAAGAAUAUGGAUCUGAGCCAGUCUUUCCACGUGUGCUCCCAGCUCCCAGCUGAGAAGGCCAAGGGUUCUCUUCCGGAUGCAGCCUUUUUGAAAUUUAUUCUUGGCCAAAAGAGGAACAUAGAUCAAGGAUUCUAUCUUGCUUUUGGGAGGCAAUGGAGAGACCCUGAAAACACUUAAGGAAAACCUGAGGCCUUCUAUAAGAAUAUAAACUCCCUGAAAGGGGAGGCAUGGCCAAGCAAUUUACUUAUUUUUAUAAAUCUCUUUCCUGGGUGGAUAUGUGCUCCGGAAAAGUGCCUGAUUGACAAGAUCUACAUCCAAUGCCCAGAAAACACAUUCUACACAGGCACAGUGAAGCGUGGAGUUGAACAAUUUUCCAGUGAGUUCCAUCAAAGUAAAUAAACCAACCUAGAGCAUCAGGA